This 735-nucleotide ribosomal RNA is filed under the name Triticum aestivum (bread wheat). RNAcentral's name for it is "partial small subunit ribosomal RNA". The record is from RNAcentral. Lineage: Eukaryota; Viridiplantae; Streptophyta; Magnoliopsida; Poales; Poaceae.
AAGCGCCUAGAGGGCAUAAGGCAGGGGAGGGGGGCAUACAUAAGGGGAAGCAGGGGAAAGAAGGGGAAAGCGAGAGUGAAGGCUGUCGGCUGGCACCAGGCGCCCCUCGCUUCCGUAGCUCACUUAGGUCGCUGGCGGGAGGCGAGGGCAGCGGCGUGAAGGGUCAGGGAGGGGCGGCGACUGAAACGGUGGCGUCGGUUCGUCCGUCGAUAACGUGUUCGAGUUCUAACUUAGUCUAGCCUGGAUCCGGUACCGGAGCUCGUCCACACCGCGGUGGGGGCAGCGUCUACGGCCGGGAGAGGUUAGAGUUCUGGUGGAGGGGGAGGACCAAAACGAGGAGGACGAACGACUGUAACUGGGAAGGGACAAGCUAGGUCAAACAAAGAAGGAAGAAGAUUAAACAACAGACGACUAACCUAAACAAGAGUCUGGUUUAACUCCGCCGCGACACACAGGUAGUGGCUGCUCCAUUGCCAGCGCCGCCGGCGGCUGCGGAUCUGGCACCGCUGGCACCGCCGACAGCGGCCGACGCUGAACCGAAAGACCGUCGCGGAAACGCGCACAAGGGACGAUCAUAUCGUCGUCAUCUUCGAUUCGUCGUUGUCUCCGCCUGCGCCUGCGACACGAUGACUAGUGAUUUAACUCCGCCAGCUGAUAAGAUGUCGACCUUCUGCUGUCUAGAGUGUCCGGAACUCGACUGGCAUCAAAACACUCUGCAUGAUUACUUUGACAAAC